UGGGGAAUAUUGGGCAAUGGGCGCAAGCCUGACCCAGCAACGCCGCGUGAAGGAAGAAGGUCUUCGGAUUGUAAACUUUUGUCUUAUGGGACGAUAAUGACGGUACCAUAGGAGGAAGUCACGACUAACUACGUGCCAGCAGUCGCGGUAAUACGUAGGUGGCAAGCGUUAUCCGGAAUUAUUGGGUGUAAAGGGUGCGUAGGCGGGAUGUAAAGUCAGAUGUGAAAUGCCGCAGCUUAACUGCGGAGCUGCAUUUGAAACUUAUGUUCUUGAGUGAAGUAGAGGCAAGCGGAAUUCCUAGUG
RNAcentral lists this ribosomal RNA (303 nucleotides) under uncultured bacterium. RNAcentral's name for it is "bacterial SSU rRNA". It matches the Rfam family "Bacterial small subunit ribosomal RNA", at positions 355 to 675 of the family's 1533-position model. The record is from RNAcentral.